Molecule: ribosomal RNA, 248 nt
Filed under: uncultured Tyzzerella sp.
Lineage: Bacteria; Bacillati; Bacillota; Clostridia; Lachnospirales; Lachnospiraceae
Description: partial 16S ribosomal RNA
Rfam family: Bacterial small subunit ribosomal RNA
Source: RNAcentral
UACGUAGGGGGCAAGCGUUAUCCGGAAUUACUGGGUGUAAAGGGAGCGUAGGCGGCAUGGUAAGCCAGAUGUGAAAGCCCGCGGCUUAACUGCGAGGAUUGCAUUUGGAACUAUCAAGCUAGAGUACAGGAGAGGAAAGCGGAAUUCCUAGUGUAGCGGUGAAAUGCGUAGAUAUUAGGAAGAACACCAGUGGCGAAGGCGGCUUUCUGGACUGAAACUGACGCUGAGGCUCGAAAGCGUGGGGAGCA